GUCGGCCCCUCCCACACACCUGUUUUGGAUAUAGGACCUGAACAGAGGAACAAACAAAGAGCUCGAACAGCAGAUCAAGUUGUCACUGCAGGUCCCCAGUACCUGGCUCCAAUUCAUGCCUGUCCCAACCACAGAUAGUUGCCUCUAGCUGCUGACUAGACGUACCCUCCAUGUCUUUUGGCUGUGUUUUGAACUGACAAGUGGAAACAAAGCAGAGGCAGACAGUGACAGGAAAACAGCAGGGGUCCGGAUGUGAGACCAUGCAAUGACUGUAUGGGGAUCUUCAUUUGCUAAGCCCUUUUAGCAUGUCAUACUGUAACAUGAUCGAAUUUUAACUAUUUCAGCCAUAAAUGAAAG
This is a long non-coding RNA of Oreochromis niloticus (Nile tilapia), 357 nucleotides long. RefSeq lists it as uncharacterized. The transcript is spliced from 3 exons. The record is from RefSeq and is a predicted model, not a curated record. NCBI's taxonomy places the organism in Eukaryota, Metazoa, Chordata, Actinopteri, Cichliformes, Cichlidae.